Molecule: ribosomal RNA, 254 nt
Filed under: uncultured bacterium
Lineage: Bacteria
Description: partial 16S ribosomal RNA
Rfam family: Bacterial small subunit ribosomal RNA
Source: RNAcentral
UACGUAGGGGGCAAGCGUUGUCCGGAUUUACUGGGCGUAAAGCGCACGUAGGCGGAUAUUUAAGUCAGGGGUGAAAUCCCGGGGCUCAACCCCGGAACUGCCUUUGAUACUGGAUAUCUUGAGUUCGGAAGAGGUAAGUGGAAUUGCGAGUGUAGAGGUGAAAUUCGUAGAUAUUCGCAGGAACACCAGUGGCGAAGGCGGCUUACUGGUCCGAUCGUGACGCUGAGGUGCGAAAGCGUGGGGAGCAAACAGGG